Molecule: ribosomal RNA, 646 nt
Filed under: Bacillus sp. RC03-4-1
Lineage: Bacteria; Bacillati; Bacillota; Bacilli; Caryophanales; Bacillaceae
Description: bacterial SSU rRNA
Rfam family: Bacterial small subunit ribosomal RNA
Source: RNAcentral
GCGGCGGACGGGUGAGUAACACGUGGGCAACCUGCCUAUAAGACUGGGAUAACUUCGGGAAACCGGAGCUAAUACCGGAUACGUUCUUUUCUCGCAUGAGAGAAGAUGGAAAGACGGUUCUGCUGUCACUUAUAGAUGGGCCCGCGGCGCAUUAGCUAGUUGGUGAGGUAAUGGCUCACCAAGGCGACGAUGCGUAGCCGACCUGAGAGGGUGAUCGGCCACACUGGGACUGAGACACGGCCCAGACUCCUACGGGAGGCAGCAGUAGGGAAUCUUCCGCAAUGGACGAAAGUCUGACGGAGCAACGCCGCGUGAACGAAGAAGGCCUUCGGGUCGUAAAGUUCUGUUGUUAGGGAAGAACAAGUACCAGAGUAACUGCUGGUACCUUGACGGUACCUAACCAGAAAGCCACGGCUAACUACGUGCCAGCAGCCGCGGUAAUACGUAGGUGGCAAGCGUUGUCCGGAAUUAUUGGGCGUAAAGCGCGCGCAGGUGGUUCCUUAAGUCUGAUGUGAAAGCCCACGGCUCAACCGUGGAGGGUCAUUGGAAACUGGGGAACUUGAGUGCAGAAGAGGAAAGUGGAAUUCCAAGUGUAGCGGUGAAAUGCGUAGAGAUUUGGAGGAACACCAGUGGCGAAGGCGACUUU